Molecule: ribosomal RNA, 207 nt
Filed under: uncultured bacterium
Lineage: Bacteria
Description: partial 16S ribosomal RNA
Rfam family: Bacterial small subunit ribosomal RNA
Source: RNAcentral
CGCGUAGGCGGUCGAUCAAGUCAGGGGUGAAAUCCUGCAGCUUAACUGUAGAAGUGCCUUUGAUACUGGUCGUCUCGAGGGAGGUAGGGGUGUGUGGAACUUCCAGUGGAGCGGUGAAAUGCGUUGAUAUUGGAAGGAACGCCGGAGGCGAAAGCGACGCACUGGACCUCUUCUGACGCUGAGGCGCGAAAGCUAGGGAGCAAAACG